This 429-nucleotide ribosomal RNA is filed under the name Acidobacteriota bacterium. RNAcentral describes it as "Acidobacteria bacterium partial 16S ribosomal RNA". It matches the Rfam family "Bacterial small subunit ribosomal RNA", at positions 355 to 776 of the family's 1533-position model. Lineage: Bacteria; Pseudomonadati; Acidobacteriota. The record is from RNAcentral.
UGGGGAAUUUUGGACAAUGGGGGAAACCCUGAUCCAGCCAUCCCGCGUGUGCGAUGAAGGCCUUCGGGUUGUAAAGCACUUUUGUCAGGAAAGAAACGUCAUGGGUUAAUACCCCGUGAAACUGACGGUACCUGCAGAAUAAGCACCGGCUAACUACGUGCCAGCAGCCGCGGUAAUACGUAGUGUGCAAGCGUUAAUCGGAAUUACUGGGCGUAAAGCGUGCGCAGGCGGUUCGGAAAGAAAGAUGUGAAAUCCCAGAGCUCAACUUUGGAACUGCAUUUUUAACUACCGGGCUAGAGUGUGUCAGAGGGAGGUGGAAUUCCGCGUGUAGCAGUGAAAUGCGUAGAUAUGCGGAGGAACACCGAUGGCGAAGGCAGCCUCCUGGGAUAACACUGACGCUCAUGAACGAAAGCGUGGGGAGCAAACAGG